UGUUCCACUUCCCAAAAACCUGGAAUACUAAAUGGUUCCCCCUUAUCCCCUCACUUCCCAAUAUAAAAAGAAGACAUAGUGACACUUUGAUCUUGAGCUUGUGAUUGUAAAUAUACUUUUGUCAUUUGGAGGACAAAGCUAUCGCCCACGAUUGCCCUUCCAGAGCACUGGACCAGGAGGAGCUGCUGGCUGAAGGAGCCAUGUACACUCUGCUGGAUGGACAGAUAAAUCCUGGGUGCGUGGAGAGAACCCAGAGUUAACAUUAUGCUGACAUGUACCCCGAAGGAUGGAUUCAGAACUGUCCAGAACCUCACAGGAAGGCAACAAGGGAAGUCAGAAGAGUCAUCGGGAUCCCUGGUGGGAUGAAGCUGCUGGUGCAGAGGGGACGACGGCGUCACUGGUUCCGAGUCUGGGAAUGGGCAUCACGGAGACAGCAAGUCUCGCGAGAACAACGCCUGGGACCAGGGGCUGCUGCUCCGGCUCACGGCCCAUCUCUCCCCCUGCGGCGCUUUGGUGAACUCUCUGGGGCUCUGGAGCCAGGGAAGCUUGGACUGCAACCUCCAGCCCUGGCUCAGAGGUAUGACGGGAGAGCAAGAGGAGAGAGCCUAGCUCAGACAAUGCUAGUACUCACUAGCAUUUCAGGAGUUCUGCUGUGUGCUCAGAAAAAACUUCCUCCCAGAACUCACGUGGUGAAGCAUCAUUGAAGCGGGCCGUGGCACACAGGUGAAAAUUCUACCCAUCACCCUCAGAGAGGCUGUGUUUGGAAAACCCGUGUUGAUUUUAACUUGAGUGUUAGUCACCCAUAAAAUGCUGCCAGAAGUCUCUCUGGGGCUGGCCCCAGUUGCAAACUGUGUGCUGUUUGUUUUCUAAGCUGCGCUUUGUUAAAAUAGCAAUUCCCAGUUUGCCUCAGGUAUAGAGUUUAGGUUCAUGGUUCAUUGGAUAUUUUAGGAAAAUAUGAGCAAACAUUCCAA
Molecule: non-coding RNA, 971 nt
Organism: Odocoileus virginianus texanus
Lineage: Eukaryota; Metazoa; Chordata; Mammalia; Artiodactyla; Cervidae
Source: RefSeq, a predicted model, not a curated record